This is a long non-coding RNA of Chelmon rostratus (copperband butterflyfish), 2004 nucleotides long. RefSeq lists it as uncharacterized. NCBI's taxonomy places the organism in Eukaryota, Metazoa, Chordata, Actinopteri, Chaetodontiformes, Chaetodontidae. The record is from RefSeq and is a predicted model, not a curated record. The transcript has 4 exons.
GCACCGCCCCGGUGAAGGCAACGGCAGCCUCUGGCAGGAAAGGUCUCGUCCUGCAUGGCGACAGUACUGUUGGAUCCCAGCACGGUGAUGCCCAGCUCCUUCUGUCUGUCCAGGGUCUGCUGGUACCACUCCUGCAUCGGUACAGACUCAAAGCGUCAGGCCAGGACGUCUUGCUGUCCAGUAGUGAGUCCAGCGUAUGCCUCAGGAGCUCUUCUCUCUCUGGACUGUCCCCGCUGACGAUGUAACAGGAGGAGCGAAUGCAUCUGAAGAAAUCCACACUGACUGUCGCAGAGGAGGCUCCAGAGGGAAUAUAGGCCAAGUCCACAUACACGCUGACUUCCCCAGCAGAGGUAGACUUCAAGCCUGUGACAGGAGAGAGUGAAGGCGUUGACCCCGGGGAGGUUCUCUGUCCCAACGUGAGUCAACAACACCGCAUCAACUCGGUCGAGGUGGCGGACCAGUUUCCAGAAACAGGCCUGGGAGUCCGAGCCGCCGUCCACCAGCACCGUGAACCCGUUAACGGCAAAAAAGGCACAGUCACCGCGGCCGGCGGGGAACACGUAGCAGCAGGGGCGGGACAGCUUGAGGAAGCCCACGGUGGUGGGAGGAGGCAGGAGGUCGAAGGAAGAUGGAGGGGAAAGGGUGCCAGAGAUCAGGGAGGUGAAUUCCCCCAGGGCCUCCAUGGCGGGCAGCACCUCCGGGGGGUUGAUGUGCAGCGUGAAAGGACCCUGCAGAGGCUUGUUUUCCAGGAGAGUCUUCCUCCACUGGCCGAUGUUGGGACAGCUGAGGGUCAGACUGAGCGUGGAGGAGCAGGCAGAGCUCUCUUGAUCUAUGAACUUCAGACAGAGCAUCUUCUCAGCAUACAGCCAACAGAUUUGUGUUCUUUUACACUACUGCAUGUUUUACAAUACUUUAGAGACCAACUGAUUAAUUAGUCUCACCAGUGUUAUAUUUUCACAGAUAGAGUGUCUGCAUGGCAUAGUGUGUCCAGAAUUGUAAAAGAGACAAUUCACUCAGAGGUAAUAAACUGGGAAAAUGUAGAUAAUCUAUCAAUGAUUGCUCCUUAAUUCUGAGGAUUUGCGACUUUUCUCUCUUUUGCAUUUUAUGAGAUGUAAAAAUCUUUUUUGGACCGUUUUGGACUCUUGGUCAGACCAAACCAGCAAUUUGAAAAUGUCACAUCCAGCUUUGGGAAAUUGUGGCUGUUUUGGACUAGACUGUAUUUUUAUAUUUUUACAUACUCAAAGCGAUUUUACAAUACAAGUCUGCAUUCACCCAUUCACACAAUGGUAGCUAGGCCACCUGCUCAUUACGAGCAUUAACACACUCACACAGGUACAGCAUCGGGAGCUAUUUAGGGUUCAGUAUCUUGACCAAGGAUACUUCUUUAUUUCUAUUUCUGUCAUUUAAUUGCCCAAACAAUCAAAAAGAUUCCUUGAUUGCAGAGAGCUAUUGUGAAAAUAACUGUUAAUUCAAGCCCAUAUUUCUAGAUUUUCUAGAUUUCUGUCCAAGAUUACUGAACAUUUCUUAUCGGCAAAGAAAUAAAGGUCAGAGAGAGACGGUGUCGUACCUGCUCUGUUAGUAUUUGUUUCAGUUGGUGUGGUGAGAACAGGCCUCUGUGAAACAGCACGUCUCCACUUUCCUCCUCACUCUGACCGGCCAAGAUCAACAGCUUAUAGGCCGAUUCCCUGGACAGCAGAGCGAACACCUGACCGAGCCACAGAUGGAAAGAUUAUUCCCCCAUAAUCCAGAGUGAAAGGACAGCGUGAGAGACAAAAGAAACAGAAAGAGAAGAAUCAAAGAAUGACACAUAGUAUGCCAAUACAUCCUCUACUAAUACACUAAUACAUAGUCAUUGUAUACUGAUACUGUCCAUAAGAGGUUUUUUGAGGUUUAUCAGCAUAAAUGUACUUGACUUGACUUGUACUCUUUUCAAGCAAAUAAAUUUAACCAUUUGGAGACAACAGCUCCUUAAAUGUGACUACUUUCUCUGCUUCCUCUGCUUUU